AAGGGUGGAAGGAUAUGUAUAUUUGGGAGUCAUCGGCAUAUAGGUGAUAGUUACAGGACUGGAUGGAGUCUGGUAGGUCAUCAGUUCAGCCAAAUUUAAUUUGGCUACAUAAUAGAAGUGCUUAGGAAUGCCACCCAUCAUGAGAUUUGUGCUUGAGCACGGUAGCAAAUAUCUGGGGGGACCCCUUUUCUGAUUCUUGGAGAAAACCUUUUAUUUUUCAUAGUAUUGAUAAUAUUGUGUACCUUAGUGCGGGUUGAGAAUGAAUGUCCAUUCUCAAUGCUACACCCAUUAGCAUGAGUGUGUAGUGUGAGAGUGUCAAGGGCGGAAUAUUGAAUAAUCGACCCUCAAGUAGGUUAGUCAUAUAGUAGGUGUAAAGAAUGAUGGAGGAAUAUUGAGUACUCCACCACCCUAACUGAGUGAAUGAUGCAAAUAGGAAAGAUUGUAUUCAAGAGUGUGAGUGUGUUUGAUUCGGAACUGAUUGUGUUGGGGCUAAAAUGACCUAGCUGUUGAUACCCCUGGAGCCAAACCUCAGUGGCUGAAUGGAUACGCACUGCGUGUACAUGUCAUCAAAGGUUACAACCAUACAAGAUACACAAGAUUUACAAUACUUACAAAACUGUAAAUGAUAGAUUUUGUUUCUUAUGUUCUUUUUAGGGAAUUUAUUUUGUAAAAAGAGCCAAAUUUUGGAAAGUGUUUUAUAGUACUGGCAGUUUUGUGUCUUAAGUGUAUGUUGAGAAUGAAUGUAUUUAUUAGUGUAAAUGUAUAGUGUGAGAGAAUCGAUGGUGCAAUAUUGAGCACUCCAUCACCCCUCAAAUAGAAUAUUGACUUCUCCAUCACCCUAAACGAAACGAGCAAAUGAUAUGUAAAUAAGAAAGAAUGUGUUUAAGUGAGUGAAGGUGGAAUGAGUUUAGGUGAAGGAACUUAUUUUGUUGGGGGCUGAAAUGCAAAGACCUAUCUGUCUUGAUGGAUAAGACCAAGGUCUAACUCCGGACCGCCACACCCAACAGGCGAUUAUCAGUUAUUAUCAAGGCCAACCAGUAAUUUAUUGUAAAUUACAAAAGCAGGAAUUGCCGGUGGAUUGUGAGCAUUGAUAGGCUCAACUCUGUACACACGUAAUUCACCAGAUUUGGAUCCCAUGAAUGUGCAAAUCCUUCAUCGGCGCAGUAGCUUUUUCCCAUCUUAGGAAUCUCUAUAUUUUCAGAGCUUGUCGCUUUGCGGAUUGUGAAGAUUUCAAGAAGUUCUAUCACGUCCUCUCUUGAGCCAAGGUAUAGUGGACAUGUCCGGUGAA
Molecule: long non-coding RNA, 1288 nt
Organism: Cimex lectularius (bed bug)
Lineage: Eukaryota; Metazoa; Arthropoda; Insecta; Hemiptera; Cimicidae
Exons: 3
Source: RefSeq, a predicted model, not a curated record